Crotalus tigris (Tiger rattlesnake) is the source of this 637-nucleotide long non-coding RNA. RefSeq lists it as uncharacterized. Lineage: Eukaryota; Metazoa; Chordata; Lepidosauria; Squamata; Viperidae. The transcript is spliced from 4 exons. The record is from RefSeq and is a predicted model, not a curated record.
GGGUGGCUCUUGGGCGGUGGGCGAUCGGGCUGGAGGGUGGCCUCUUUGGGCCAAAGUUGGGGAGAGGGCCCCGCGCACAGGCCCGGCCGGGAAGAAGUGGAUCCGCUGCUAAUUACGGGCAUUCGUGAGCACAGCUGGGCUGCCAGCCUCCCUGGCAGCAGCCAAUGUUUGGAGAGCCGAUCAUUUGUAGUGUACACACACACACGCGCCCAACUCCUGAAACCCGAAACGGCCGCUGCCUGAUGCCAACCCGAUUAGCGGAGCUGCUUUGCCCUCAGGAAUCGCCUCGCCUGUUUCCAGCGGCAGGUCAGGCAGCGGGCAGAGGAGGCAAGGGGGACCCCGAGCCUCGAGACCUGAGGCGAACGGCCCCCUCUGCCCACCAGGAAAGUCUUCUACCCAGCAGUUAGAAAUAUUUUUCGAGACAAAGAAUUCAAAUUCAAGAGAUGGAAAAUCUCUCAUCAGCAACGUGAAGCUGUAUGAAGCUCUGAUCAUUGUCAAGCACUAGUUUGGACAUAUUACAGCUGACAAGGAAGCUGGAUGCUGGAUCCGGACUGCUGAAAAUUCUCUCUGGUUUAAGGAGAGACCUUGAGAUUACUCAUCUGUACUCUGGACAUCAAUUUUUGUGAGUAGAUGGUAG